UGUUCGAGUGAAAGGAGACCAUGUGAUUGGCAUAGUGACAGCUAAAUCUGGAGAUACAUUCAGAGCUGAUGUUGGAGGGAGUGAGCCAGCUUCUUUGUUUUACUUGGCGUUUGAAGGUGCAACUAAAAGAAACAGACCAUAUGUGUAGGUUGGAGAUCUCAUCUAUGGCCACUUUGUGGUUGCUAAUAAAGACAUGGAACUAGAGAUGGUGUGUAUUGACAGCUGAGGACGAGCCAAUGGAAUGGGUGUCAUUGGACAGGAUGGUCUGCUUUUUAAAGUGACUUUGGGCUUAGUUAGAAAGCUAUUAACUCCAGGUUGUGGAAUCAUACAGGAAGUGGGAAAACUUUAUUCCCUGGAGAUAGUAUUUGGAAUGAAUGGAAGAAUAUGGGUCAAAACAAAAACCAUCCAUCAAACUUUAAUUUUGGCAAACAUUUUGGAAGCUUGUGAACACAUGAUGUCAGAUCAAAGAAAACAAAUCUUCUCCAGACUGGCAGAAA
RNAcentral lists this long non-coding RNA (497 nucleotides) under Homo sapiens (human). RNAcentral describes it as "non-protein coding lnc-PRR36-6:1". The record is from RNAcentral. Lineage: Eukaryota; Metazoa; Chordata; Mammalia; Primates; Hominidae.